AUUGAACGCUGGCGGCAGGCCUAACACAUGCAAGUCGAACGGUAACAGGAAGCAGCUUGCUGCUUCGCUGACGAGUGGCGGACGGGUGAGUAAUGUCUGGGAAGCUGCCUGAUGGAGGGGGAUAACUACUGGAAACGGUAGCUAAUACCGCAUAAUGUCGCAAGACCAAAGAGGGGGACCUUCGGGCCUCUUGCCAUCGGAUGUGCCCAGAUGGGAUUAGCUUGUUGGUGGGGUAACGGCUCACCAAGGCGACGUUCCCUAGCCGGUCUGAGAGGAUGACCAGCCACACUGGAACUGAAACCCGGUCCAGACUCCUACGGGAGGCAGCAGUGGGGAAUAUUGCACAAUGGGCGCAAGCCUGAUGCAGCCAUGCCGCGUGUAUGAAGAAGGCCUUCGGGUUGUAAAGUACUUUCAGCGGGGAGGAAGGGAGUAAAGUUAAUACCUUUGCUCAUUGACGUUACCCGCAGAAGAAGCACCGGCUAACUCCGUG
RNAcentral lists this ribosomal RNA (490 nucleotides) under uncultured bacterium. RNAcentral's name for it is "partial 16S ribosomal RNA". It matches the Rfam family "Bacterial small subunit ribosomal RNA", at positions 30 to 507 of the family's 1533-position model. The record is from RNAcentral.